Molecule: transfer RNA, 84 nt
Filed under: Caulobacter phage phiCbK
Lineage: Duplodnaviria; Heunggongvirae; Uroviricota; Caudoviricetes; Jeanschmidtviridae
Description: tRNA-Trp
Rfam family: tRNA (bases 9-81)
About the family: Transfer RNA (tRNA) molecules are approximately 80 nucleotides in length. Their secondary structure includes four short double-helical elements and three loops (D, anti-codon, and T loops).
Source: RNAcentral
AGUCCCAUGUCGGUCUAGCUCAUGGGGUAGAGCGGCGGUCUCCAAAACCGCGCGUGGCAGGUUCGAGUCCUGCGACCGGCGCCA